This 301-nucleotide ribosomal RNA is filed under the name uncultured bacterium. RNAcentral's name for it is "partial 16S ribosomal RNA". It matches the Rfam family "Bacterial small subunit ribosomal RNA", at positions 509 to 807 of the family's 1533-position model. The record is from RNAcentral.
CAGUCGCCACGGUAAUACGUAGGGUGCAAGCGUUAAUCGGAAUUACUGGGCGUAAAGCGUGCGCAGGCGGUUUGUUAAGACAGAUGUGAAAUCCCCGGGCUCAACCUGGGAACUGCAUUUGUGACUGGCAAGCUAGAGUGUGGCAGAGGGGGGUGGAAUUCCGCGUGUAGCAGUGAAAUGCGUAGAUAUGCGGAGGAACACCGAUGGCGAAGGCAGCCCCCUGGGCCAACACUGACGCUCAUGCACGAAAGCGUGGGGAGCAAACAGGAUUAGAUACCCGCGUAGUCCCUGUCUCUUAUAC